RNAcentral lists this ribosomal RNA (407 nucleotides) under uncultured prokaryote. RNAcentral describes it as "bacterial SSU rRNA". It matches the Rfam family "Bacterial small subunit ribosomal RNA", at positions 355 to 776 of the family's 1533-position model. The record is from RNAcentral. RNAcentral also lists the same sequence under 1 other name.
UGGGGAAUAUUGCGCAAUGGGGGAAACCCUGACGCAGCAACGCCGCGUGAAGGAUGAAGGUUUUCGGAUUGUAAACUUCUUUGAUGAGGGACGAACACAAUGACGGUACCUCAAAAACAAGCCACGGCUAACUACGUGCCAGCAGCCGCGGUAAUACGUAGGUGGCGAGCGUUGUCCGGAAUUACUGGGUGUAAAGGGCGUGUAGGCGGAAACUUAAGUCAGAUGUGAAAUUCCCGGGCUCAACUCGGGCGCUGCAUUUGAAACUGAGCUUCUUGAGUGAUGGAGAGGAAAGCGGAAUUCCUAGUGUAGCGGUGAAAUGCGUAGAUAUUAGGAGGAACACCAGUGGCGAAGGCGGCUUUCUGGACAUUAACUGACGCUGAGGCGCGAAAGCGUGGGGAGCAAACAGG